RNAcentral lists this ribosomal RNA (253 nucleotides) under uncultured bacterium. RNAcentral's name for it is "partial 16S ribosomal RNA". It matches the Rfam family "Bacterial small subunit ribosomal RNA", at positions 524 to 776 of the family's 1533-position model. The record is from RNAcentral.
UACGUAUGGUGCAAGCGUUAUCCGGAUUUACUGGGCGUAAAGGGAGCGCAGGCGGCGCGCCAAGUCUGAUGUGAAACCCCGGGGCUCAACCCCGGGCAUGCAUUGGAAACUGGCGGGCUGGAGUGCCGGAGAGGUAAGCGGAAUUCCUAGUGUAGCGGUGAAAUGCGUAGAUAUUAGGAGGAACACCAGUGGCGAAGGCGGCUUACUGGACGGCAACUGACGCUGAGGCUCGAAAGCGUGGGGAGCAAGCAGG